ACUCCUACGGGAGGCAGCAGUGGGGAAUAUUGGACAAUGGGACGGAGCAUCAUCCAGCCAGCUGUGUGUAAGAAGGCCUUAUGGUUGUAAAGCACUUUAAGCGAGGAGGAGGCUACUGAGACUAAUACUCUUGGAUAGUGGACGUUACUCGCAGAAUAAGCACCGGCUAACUCUGUGCCAGCAGCCGCGGUAAUACAGAGGGUGCGAGCGUUAAUCGGAUUUACUGGGCGUAAAGCGUGCGUAGGCGGCCAUUUAAGUCAAAUGUGAAAU
This 270-nucleotide ribosomal RNA is filed under the name uncultured bacterium. RNAcentral describes it as "partial 16S ribosomal RNA". It matches the Rfam family "Bacterial small subunit ribosomal RNA", at positions 335 to 600 of the family's 1533-position model. The record is from RNAcentral.